AGAGUUUGAUCCUGGCUCAGGAUGAACGCUGGCGGCGUGCUUAACACAUGCAAGUCGAGCGGAGUUAUUUGGAUUGAGAGCUUCGGCAGGAUUUUCAAAUAACUUAGCGGCGGACGGGUGAGUAACGUGUGGGCAACCUGCCCUGUACUGUGGGAUAAUCACGGGAAACUGUGACUAAUACCGCAUAAUAUCACUACGAGGCAUCUCGAAGUGAAGAAAGGAUUUAUUCGGUACAGGAUGGGCCCGCA
This 248-nucleotide ribosomal RNA is filed under the name uncultured bacterium. Its description in RNAcentral is "partial 16S ribosomal RNA". It matches the Rfam family "Bacterial small subunit ribosomal RNA", at positions 8 to 235 of the family's 1533-position model. The record is from RNAcentral.